RNAcentral lists this ribosomal RNA (253 nucleotides) under uncultured bacterium. Its description in RNAcentral is "partial 16S ribosomal RNA". It matches the Rfam family "Bacterial small subunit ribosomal RNA", at positions 524 to 776 of the family's 1533-position model. The record is from RNAcentral.
UACGGGGGGGGCAAGCGUUGUUCGGAAUUACUGGGCGUAAAGGGCCCGUAGGUGGCCAACUAAGUCAGACGUGAAAUCCCUCGGCUUAACCGGGGAACUGCGUCUGAUACUGGAUGGCUUGAGUUUGGGAGAGGGACGCGGAAUUCCAGGUGUAGCGGUGAAAUGCGUAGAUAUCUGGAGGAACACCGGUGGCGAAGGCGGCGUCCUGGACCAACACUGACACUGAGGAGCGAAAGCCAGGGGAGCAAACGGG